RNAcentral lists this ribosomal RNA (460 nucleotides) under uncultured bacterium. Its description in RNAcentral is "partial 16S ribosomal RNA". It matches the Rfam family "Bacterial small subunit ribosomal RNA", at positions 338 to 795 of the family's 1533-position model. The record is from RNAcentral.
CCUACGGGAGGCAGCAGUGAGGAAUAUUGGGCAAUGGACGCAAGUCUGAACCAGCCAUGCCGCGUGCAGGAAGACGGCCCUAUGAGUUGUAAACUGCUUUUGUACGAGGGUAAACGCAGACACGCGUAUCUGUCUGAGAGUAUCGUACGAAUGAGGAUCGGCUAACUCCGUGCCAGCAGCCGCGGUAAUACGGAGGAUUCAAGCGUUAUCCGGAUUGAUUGGGUGUAAAGGGUGCGUAGGCGGUUGGGUAAGUGAGUGGUGAAACCCCGAGGCUCAACUUUGGAACUGCCUCUGAAACUGUUCGGCUAGAGAGUAGUUGCGGUAGGCGGAAUGUAUGGUGUAGCGGUGAAAUGCUUAGAGAUCAUACAGAACACCGAUGGCGAAGGCAGCUUACCAGGCUGCAUCUGACGCUGAGGCACGAAAGCGUGGGGAGCAAACAGGAUUAGAUACCCCAGUAGUC